AAAUUGAAGAGUUUGAUCAUGGCUCAGAUUGAACGCUGGCGGCAGGCCUAACACAUGCAAGUCGAACGGUAACAGGAAACAGCUUGCUGUUUCGCUGACGAGUGGCGGACGGGUGAGUAAUGUCUGGGAAACUGCCUGAUGGAGGGGGAUAACUACUGGAAACGGUAGCUAAUACCGCAUAACGUCGCAAGACCAAAGAGGGGGACCUUCGGGCCUCUUGCCAUCGGAUGUGCCCAGAUGGGAUUAGCUAGUAGGUGGGGUAACGGCUCACCUAGGCGACGAUCCCUAGCUGGUCUGAGAGGAUGACCAGCCACACUGGAACUGAGACACGGUCCAGACUCCUACGGGAGGCAGCAGUGGGGAAUAUUGCACAAUGGGCGCAAGCCUGAUGCAGCCAUGCCGCGUGUAUGAAGAAGGCCUUCGGGUUGUAAAGUACUUUCAGCGGGGAGGAAGGGAGUAAAGUUAAUACCUUUGCUCAUUGACGUUACCCGCAGAAGAAGCACCGGCUAACUCCGUGCCAGCAGCCGCGGUAAUACGGAGGGUGCAAGCGUUAAUCGGAAUUACUGGGCGUAAAGCGCACGCAGGCGGUUUGUUAAGUCAGAUGUGAAAUCCCCGGGCUCAACCUGGGAACUGCAUCUGAUACUGGCAAGCUUGAGUCUCGUAGAGGGGGGUAGAAUUCCAGGUGUAGCGGUGAAAUGCGUAGAGAUCUGGAGGAAUACCGGUGGCGAAGGCGGCCCCCUGGACGAAGACUGACGCUCAGGUGCGAAAGCGUGGG
RNAcentral lists this ribosomal RNA (775 nucleotides) under Escherichia coli. RNAcentral describes it as "bacterial SSU rRNA". It matches the Rfam family "Bacterial small subunit ribosomal RNA", at positions 1 to 765 of the family's 1533-position model. The record is from RNAcentral. Lineage: Bacteria; Pseudomonadati; Pseudomonadota; Gammaproteobacteria; Enterobacterales; Enterobacteriaceae.